GGGGGCUAGGUAUCGGAUUACUGGGCGUAAGCGUGCGCAGGCGGUUUUGUAAGUCUGUCGUGAAAGCCCCGGGCUCAACCUGGGAAUUGCGAUGGAGACUGCAAGGCUUGAAUCUGGCAGAGGGGGGUAGAAUUCCACGUGUAGCAGUGAAAUGCGUAGAGAUGUGGAGGAACACCGAUGGCGAAGGCAGCCCCCUGGGUCAAGAUUGACGCUCAUGCACGAAAGCGUGGGGAGCAAACAGGAUUAGAUACCCUGGUAGUCCACGCCCUAAACGAUGUCUACUAGUUGUCGGGUUUUAAUUAACUUGGUAACGCAGCUAACGCGUGAAGUAGACCGCCUGGGGAGUACGGUCGCAAGAUUAAAACUCAAAGGAAUUGACGGGGACCCGCACAAGCGGUGGAUGAUGUGGAUUAAUUCGAUGCAACGCGAAAAACCUUACCUACCCUUGACAUGUCAGGAACCUCCGAGAGAUCGGGGGGUGCCCGAAAGGGAACCUGAACACAGGUGCUGCAUGGCUGUCGUCAGCUCGUGUCGUGAGAUGUUGGGUUAAGUCCCGCAACGAGCGCAACCCUUGUCAUUAGUUGCUACAUUCAGUUGAGCACUCUAAUGAGACUGCCGGUGACAAACCGGAGGAAGGUGGGGAUGACGUCAAGUCCUCAUGGCCCUUAUGGGUAGGGCUUCACACGUCAUACAAUGGUACAUACAGAGGGCCGCCAACCCGCGAGGGGGAGCUAAUCCCAGAAAGUGUAUCGUAGUCCGGAUCGUAGUCUGCAACUCGACUACGUGAAGUUGGAAUCGCUAGUAAUCGCGGAUCAGCAUGUCGCGGUGAAUACGUUCCCGGGUCUUGUACACACCGCCCGUCACACCAUGGGAGCGGGUUUUACCAGAAGUAGUAGCUUAACCGCAAGGAGGGCGCUUACCACGGUAGGAUUCGUGACUGGGGUG
RNAcentral lists this ribosomal RNA (945 nucleotides) under uncultured bacterium. RNAcentral's name for it is "bacterial SSU rRNA". It matches the Rfam family "Bacterial small subunit ribosomal RNA", at positions 530 to 1482 of the family's 1533-position model. The record is from RNAcentral.